UGAGGAAUAUUGGACAAUGGGCGCAAGCCUGAUCCAGCCAUGCCGCGUGCAGGAAGAAGCAUCUAUGGUGUGUAAACUGCUUUUGUACGGGAAGAAACACCCCUUCGUGAAGUAGCUUGACGGUACCGUCAGAAUAAGGAUCGGCUAACUCCGUGCCAGCAGCCGCGGUCAUACGGAGGAUCCAAGCGUUAUCCGGAGUCAUUGGGUUUAAAGGGUCCGUAGGCGGUUUAGUAAGUCAGUGGUGAAAGCCCAUCGCUCAACGAUGGAACGGCCAUUGAUACUACUAGACUUGAAUUAUUAGGAAGUAGCUAGAAUAUGUAGUGUAGCGGUGAAAUACUUAGAUAUUACAUGGAAUACGAAGUGCGAAGGCAGGUUACUACUAAUGGAUUGACGCUGAUGGACGAGAGCGUGGUGAGCGAAAA
RNAcentral lists this ribosomal RNA (422 nucleotides) under uncultured bacterium. RNAcentral describes it as "bacterial SSU rRNA". It matches the Rfam family "Bacterial small subunit ribosomal RNA", at positions 355 to 774 of the family's 1533-position model. The record is from RNAcentral.